Onychostoma macrolepis is the source of this 2353-nucleotide long non-coding RNA. RefSeq lists it as uncharacterized. The transcript has 6 exons. The record is from RefSeq and is a predicted model, not a curated record. NCBI's taxonomy places the organism in Eukaryota, Metazoa, Chordata, Actinopteri, Cypriniformes, Cyprinidae.
UGUUCGUACGGACUCAACGUGUUUGCGUUUGUUUUGCGUGCGGUACGCGAGGACGGAUAAAUAGCAAGACGUUUUAUUCGACUGUUGUGCAACACCCUCUUUUAUUCUAUACCAUUUCAUUCUGACUAAAAGCUUGCAAGUCGGGGUUUCAUUCAAGCGCUGGAAGAAAACUUCGAGCAAGUAACAACGCGCAUGCGCAAUAACACGACGCUCAGAAAGGAAGACAAAUCUCCAGCGAUGUUUAGAAAAACAAUGUUUCUCACUUGAUUGCCAAGCCUUGCACUUUAAUCAUUAGUGCCACAGAGCUCAAAGGUUAAACACAUUACAUUUCUUUCCCUUCUGGAUAUGCCCAUCUUGGAUUCCAAAAAUCUGCAGUGCUCUGAGGCCCAAUGCAGCCAUGGAAACACUCCACAAAACACCUGUCAGACCUGUUCCCGUUCAAACACCUGCUGCAGGAAUCACAGCCUACCAUCAUGGGAGAUCUCUACAAGGGGCCAAGCAGGUUUUUUCUGGGUGCACACAGUGUGCAUAUAAUAUAUGCAGAGAUUGAGUGUUGCUCUAGCUGUCUUCUUCCAGCCUGCUGAGUUUCCUGCAGGGCAGACUACAGUGUUUCAAAGCAGAUGCAUAGCGACUGACAGCCUUCUUUAGUGACACGGGAUGCUGUUCUCCGUCUACAAUCCGGAACAUAUUGACACUCCAGUCAUCUGCCAGCGUGCCACAGGCUACAUGUAGGAUCAGUUUUUCUUCAAUAUCCAUCGCUGACUUGAGGUUUUUUUAGUGCCUGGGAAUAUCAGACAACUAGACGCUCUAGUCAAUGCAGUCGAUGUGGAGAUGGGACUCCGCAAAGACGAGUAAUUAGGCCUGUGGCAGAAGUCCAGCCACCCCAUGCCUCAGUGUGCGUGUGUGUUUGAGCCAACGACUGGUUAAAGUUCCUGUAGUGUGGAUAGGUUGAAAGACUAAAUGGACUCAAAGGCGAGCACGUCUUCUCAAGAACUCAGAUGUGGUUUUUGUAGCCGGUGCUUUGAUGUGUCUCUUUGUGUGUACCUUUGCCCUCCUUUGAUUGUUCCCUCUCUACUUUCCUGGAUGUAAACGCCUACACAAGUUGAUGUCACAUUAGUUUCAAACAAAAACAAGUGAAAACCUUUUGGAAAUGGCUGGUGGCUUAUCUUCUAGGAUGCAGAAGAAAGAUCCUGGAAGUCUUCACAUCCUUAUCUUCAACUGAUUUACUGUACUUUUGAUGCUUCAUGUAAAUACUCCCUGUUUUUGAUUUUUUAUUUUUUUUUCCUUAUGUAGCUUUUCCUGGGGUAUUUAGGGUUCUGCUCAUCAUCGUCAAAGGUUUCCUUAUUCGAGAGCAGCAAGGUUUAAGGGCCGGUUUGGCAGCCUGGCUCCAGCACCAGCCCCACUGGAAAAGGAGUAGGCCUAUGUUUCAAGAUACUUUGUUCUCUUGUCUGCAUGUCUCUCUUGCUCACUCAUAGGCAUUGCUAGGCCAUAUUUACUGUAGGAGGACUUCAACCAUUGUCUUUUCAUCUCAGACCCUCUAAAAGUCUAUUUACUCUGCUGUCAGCCCUUUUAAAAAUCAGUGAUUAUGUGAUCUUCAUGUUUACUGAGAACAGCAGCUGCAGUAAGCUAUCACAGGUUAUUUCACUCCAAAUCCUCUCCUUAUCAGAUGUUUGAAACGUCCCUGUAGUUGUUGGCGGACAUGGUCAAAGGUGAUAUAAGGUGGCAAUGCAUAAAGCUGUCACAGAUGUCACUUGCUUGAAUGCUUGUUGCAUUGAAAUCCCAAAAUAAAAUGCAACCAAAUCUACUGUUAUUGAAAUACAUGUAACACUUACAAAAGUAUGCAAUUUGACAUUUUAUAUAUAGCUAUGUAUAUGUGUGCUUAAAGAGAAUUUAGUACAAUGGCAAUACAAGUGACUCACUUUAAUGCUUAAAGUACAGUGUUAAAAAAAAAUGUAUUGUCUUAAUGAUCAUUUUCUAAGUGCGCCAAUUUAAGCAAUUGUGCAGUUAAAUAAAGGCUGGCAUUGCUCUCCUGUUCACUGUCCAGUGCUUUUCUUUUUUGCUGACACUCUUGGGUACUUAGCAUAAGCACUAAGCAUUACAGUGAGUCACAAUGUACUGCCAUUGUAUUAAAUUCACCCAAUCGGAUAUUAAAUGAUCACCUUUCGUGUUUGCAGAAGAAAGAAAGUGUCUUUUAGUCCAUGUAUGUUUACUUUGAGGCAUGCAUUUAUAUGUUGGUGUACUCCUAAAUAUUGACAGUUUACUUUUAGCAGAUAUAUAUUUAAAAUAUAUUUCUCUGUAACAGUCCAAAAUAUUGAUGACUUCAAUAUUAAAGCACUAAACAGAUUUUUGUCCA